RNAcentral lists this ribosomal RNA (497 nucleotides) under uncultured bacterium. Its description in RNAcentral is "partial 16S ribosomal RNA". It matches the Rfam family "Bacterial small subunit ribosomal RNA", at positions 28 to 507 of the family's 1533-position model. The record is from RNAcentral.
GAUGAACGCUGGCGGCGUGCCUAAUACAUGCAAGUCGAGCGAACGGACGAGAAGCUUGCUUCUCUGAUGUUAGCGGCGGACGGGUGAGUAACACGUGGAUAACCUACCUAUAAGACUGGGAUAACUUCGGGAAACCGGAGCUAAUACCCGAUAAUAUUUUGAACCGCAUUGUUCAAAAGUGAAAGACGGUCUUGCUGGCACUUAUAGAUGGAUACGCCCUGCAUUAGCUAGUUGGUAAGGUAACGGGUUACCAAGGCAACGAUGGAUAGCCGACCUGAGAGGGUGAUCGGCCACACGGGAACUGAGACAGGGUCCAGACUCCUACGGGAGGCAGCAGUAGGGAAUCUUACGCAAUGGGCGAGAGCCUGACGGAGCAACGCCGCGUGAGUGAUGAAGGUCUUCGGAUCGUAAAACUCUGUUAUUAGGGAAGAACAUAUGUGUAAGUAACUGUGCACAUCUUGACGGUACCUAAUCAGAAAGCCACGGCUAACUACGUG